Oncorhynchus mykiss (rainbow trout) is the source of this 2100-nucleotide long non-coding RNA. The record is from Ensembl. NCBI's taxonomy places the organism in Eukaryota, Metazoa, Chordata, Actinopteri, Salmoniformes, Salmonidae.
AUGUACUUUCUCUCCCUCUCUAUCUGUUUCCCUGUCUCUCUCCCUCUCUCUCUCUCCCUCUCUAUCUGUUUCCCUGUCUCUCUCCCUCUCUAUCUGUUUCCCUGUCUCUCUCCCUAUCUCUCUCUCUCCCUAUCUAUCUGUUUCUCUCUCUCUCUCCCUAUCUAUCUGUUUCCCUUUCUAUCUGUUUCCCUAUCUCUGUCCCUCUCUCUCUCCCCCUAUCUAUCUGUUUCCCGUUCUCUCUCUCUCUCUCUCUAUCUCUCCCUCUCUCUCCCUUUCUCUCCCUAUCUAUCUGUUUCCCUGUCUCUCUCUCUCUCUCCCUAUCUAUCUGUUUCCCUUUCUAUCUGUUUCCCUUUAUAUCUGUUUCCCUGUCUCUCUCCCUAUCUAUCUGUUUCCCUGUCUCUCUCCCUCUCUCUCCCUAUCUAUCUGUUUCCCUCUCCCUCUCCCUUUCUCUCCCUAUCUAUCUGUUUCCCUGUCUCUCUCCCUCUCUCUCCCUCUCUCUCCCUAUCUAUCUGUUUCCCUCUCUCUCUCUCUCUCUCCCUAUCUAUCUGUUUCCCUAUCUCUCUCUCUCUCCCUUUCUCUCCCUAUCUAUCUGUUUCCCUGUCUCUCUCCCUCUCUCUUCCUAUCUAUCUGUUUCCCUCUCUCUCCCUCCCUUUCUCUCCCUAUCUAUCUGUUUCCCUGUCUCUCUCCCUCUAUCUCCCUAUCUAUCUGUUUCCCUGUCUCUCUACCGCUCUCUCCCUCUCUAUCUCUUUCCCUUUCUCUCUCUCUCUCUCUCUCCCUCUCUCUCCCUCUCUAUCUCUUUCCCUUUCUCUCUGCCUCUCUCUCCCUCUCUAUCUGUUUCCCUGUCUCUCUCCCGCUCUCUCCCUAUCUAUCUCUUUCCCUUUCUCUCUCUCUCUCCCUCUCUAUCUCUUUCCCUUUCUCUCUCUCUCUCUCUCCCUAUCUAUCUCUUUCCCUUUCUCUCUCUCUCUCUCCCUAUCUAUCUCUUUCCCUUUCUCCCUCUCUCUCUCUCCCUAUCUAUCUCUGUCCCUUUCUCUCUCUCUCUCUCCCUAUCUAUCUCUUUCUCUUUCUCUCUCUCUCUCUCUCCCUAUCUAUCUCUUUCCCUUUCUCUCUCUCUCUCUCUCUCUCCCUAUCUAUCUCUUUCCCUUUCUCUCUCUCUCUCUCUCUCUCUCCCUAUCUAUCUCUUUCCCUUUCUCUCUCUCUCUCUCUCUCUCUCCCUAUCUAGCUCUUUCCCUUUCUCUCUCUUUCUCUCUCCCUAUCUAUCUCUUUCCCUUUCUCUCUCCCUCUCUAUCUGUUUCCCUGUCUCUCUCCCUCUCUCUCCCUCUCUAUCAGUCUCUCCCUGUCUCUCUCCCUUCUCCCUGUCUCUCUCCCUCUAUCUGUUUCCCUGUCUCUCUCCUUCUCUAUCUGUCUCUCCCUGUCUCUCUCCCUCUCUAUCUGUCUCUCCCUGUCUCCCUGUCUCUCUCCCUCUCUCUCCCUCUCUAUCAGUCUCUCCCUGUCUCUCUCCCUUCUCCCUGUCUCUCUCCCUCUAUCUGUUUCCCUGUCUCUCUCCUUCUCUAUCUGUCUCUCCCUGUCUCUCUCCCUCUCUAUCUGUCUCUCCCUGUCUCUCUCCCUGUCUCACUCACUCUCUCUCUGUCUCUCUCCCUCUCUAUCUGUCUCUAUCUGUCUCUCUCACUCUCUAUUUGUCUCUCUCACUCUCUAUCUGUCUCUCCCUGUCUCUCUCCCUUCUCCCUGUCUCUCUCCCUCUAUCUGUUUCCCUGUCUCUCUCCUUCUCUAUCUGUCUCUCCCUGUCUCUCUCCCUCUCUAUCUGUCUCUCCCUGUCUCUCUAUCUGUCUCCCUGUCUCUCUUCCUGUCUCUCUCUCUCCCUCUCCAUCUGUCUCCCUGUCUCUCUCCCUGUCUCACUCACUCUCUCUCUGUCUCUCCCCCUCUGUCUCUCUCCCUCUCUAUCCGUCUCUCCCUGUCUCUCUCACUCUCUAUAUGUCUCUCCCUGUCUCUCUCCCUGUCUCUCUCACUCUCUAUAUGUCUCUCCCUGUCUCUCUCCCUCUCUCCCUGUCUCUCUCUCUCUCUAGCUGUCUCUCUCUCUCCCUGUCUCUCUCAUUCUCUCUCUAG